RNAcentral lists this ribosomal RNA (447 nucleotides) under uncultured bacterium. Its description in RNAcentral is "bacterial SSU rRNA". It matches the Rfam family "Bacterial small subunit ribosomal RNA", at positions 355 to 825 of the family's 1533-position model. The record is from RNAcentral.
UGGGGAAUCUUGGACAAUGGGCGCAAGCCUGAUCCAGCCAUGCCGCGUGGAUGAUGAAGGCCUUAGGGUUGUAAAAUCCUUUCGUGGGGGACGAUAAUGACGGUACCCCAAGAAGAAGCUCCGGCUAACUUCGUGCCAGCAGCCGCGGUAAUACGAAGGGGGCUAGCGUUGUUCGGAUUUACUGGGCGUAAAGCGCGUGUAGGCGGGUCGUUAAGUUGGGGGUGAAAUCCCGAGGCUCAACCUCGGAACUGCCUUCAAAACUGGCGACCUGGACUCAAGUAGAGGCAAGUGGAAUUGCGAGUGUAGAGGUGAAAUUCGUAGAUAUUCGCAGGAACACCAGUGGCGAAGGCGACUUGCUGGACUUGUAGUGACGCUGAGACGCGAAAGCGUGGGGAGCAAACAGGAUUAGAUACCCCUGUAGUCCCUGAGCGGGCUGGCAAGGCGCAU